Molecule: non-coding RNA, 926 nt
Organism: Neolamprologus brichardi
Lineage: Eukaryota; Metazoa; Chordata; Actinopteri; Cichliformes; Cichlidae
Source: RefSeq, a predicted model, not a curated record
GAGAGGCACCUAGCUUAAAAUCUGUGUUUAAACUGGAGGAAAGCUUACCUUACAACAGCCGAGGUCAAACGCGCUAUGCCGCUUUUCUUUCACUCACUUCCACCGCUCGAGGUUUUGGAGUUGUGUCUCUCCGCCGUGUCAGUCAGUCCACUUACUGACUGGUCACUGUUAGUCAGUAGGUAACGUACUGUGUGCCGGGUUUCUCCUGACCCUCCCACCACCACUCCCAGUUCUCCAACCGUGGGCUCUGCCUCAGCGCGGAGGCUUCUCCUGGACUGCAGAAUUGCAACUCCUAAGAUUAAGCAGAAAGAGAACGUGCGUAGAAGAUAAUCCCAAGAGAAGUUAAAAUGCAGAGCGGAGAGUCACAGUGAGGCGAGCUUCCUCUCAUGCAGCCAGAGGAUGUUGCCUCUCUGGCUGAAUUCACGGGAAGGAUAUAGUACGUAGCCUGACUCAAGAUGGAUGCCACUUACAGAGGAUAUGUGUCUUUUGUUUUACAAGUGCAUACUAAACUUCCUUGCUUUCCUUUCCAUUGCCACGGAGAAGUGUCUCAGUGAUUACUGAAAGGUCCCACUCUGCGGGCAGUAAUCUUGCUCCGACAACAGAAUGCUGGCAGUUUCCAGUUUCCACAGGAAGGCAGAGGAAGCUAGAGGACGCCGAUUAGGCUGCAGAUGUAGAAGAGGGAGCCACUGACACGACGGCCAAAACACUCCCUCUGGAGAACACUGUCUUCAAACAUAAUUACUGGAAAGUUAAACUAUUGACAUAUUUUUCCUUUAUAGCACUUCCAUCACCUGUGUAAAUAUGGAAAUUAUUUUAGCACGAGUGAUGUAUUGUCAGAUUAGCUGGAAGUUGCUGCCCUCUUGAGGUUUCAUGUUUCAGCAGGCAGAUCUAUAAAAGACAAAUAAAAAGGUGCUGUUGGAAGCUGA